RNAcentral lists this ribosomal RNA (270 nucleotides) under uncultured bacterium. Its description in RNAcentral is "partial 16S ribosomal RNA". It matches the Rfam family "Bacterial small subunit ribosomal RNA", at positions 165 to 451 of the family's 1533-position model. The record is from RNAcentral.
AAUACUGUAUAAUCCCCGAGGGGGAAAGAUUUAUCGCUAUUAGAUGAGCCUACGUUAGAUUAGCUAGUUGGUGAGGUAAUGGCUUACCAAGGCUAUGAUCUAUAGCUGGUCUGAGAGGACGAUCAGCCACACUGGAACUGAGAUACGGUCCAGACUCCUACGGGAGGCAGCAGUGGGGAAUAUUGGACAAUGGGCGAAAGCCUGAUCCAGCUAUGCCGCGUGAGUGAAGAAGGCCUUCGGGUUGUAAAACUCUUUCAAUAGGGAAGAUAA